ACCCAGCUGACGAGUUCCAAAUAAGACGAAACGCGCGUCCUGGAU
Non-coding RNA from Schistosoma haematobium, 45 nucleotides. The record is from Rfam. NCBI's taxonomy places the organism in Eukaryota, Metazoa, Platyhelminthes, Trematoda, Strigeidida, Schistosomatidae.